GAUGAACGCUAGCGGCAGGCUUAACACAUGCAAGUCGAGGGGUAACGAUGAGUGCUUGCACUCAGGCGACGACCGGCGAACGGGUGCGUAACGCGUAUAGAAUCUGCCCUGUACAGGAGGAUAGCCUUUAGAAAUGAAGAUUAAUACUCCAUAAUGUUAUUUGGUGGCAUCAUUAAAUAAUUAAAGAUUUAUCGGUACAAGAUGACUAUGCGUCCUAUUAGUUAGUUGGUAAGGUAACGGCUUACCAAGGCGGCGAUAGGUAGGGGGUCUGAGAGGAUUAUCCCCCACACUGGUACUGAGACACGGACCAGACUCCUACGGGAGGCAGCAGUGAGGAAUAUUGGACAAUGGGCGCAAGCCUGAUCCAGCCAUGCCGCGUGCAGGAAGACUGCCCUAUGGGUUGUAAACUGCUUUUAUACAGGAAGAAACACCAAUACGUGUAUUGGCUUGACGGUACUGUAAGAAUAAGCACCGGCUAACUCCGUGCCGGCAGCCGCGGUAAUACGGAGGGUGCAAGCGUUAUCCGGAAUCAUUGGGUUUAAAGGGUCCGCAGGCGGUCGAUUAAGUCAGAGGUGAAAUCUCACAGCUUAACUGUGAAACUGCCUUUGAUACUGGUUGACUUGAGUCAUAUGGAAGUGGAUAGAAUAAGUAGUGUAGCGGUGAAAUGCAUAGAUAUUACUUAGAAUACCGAUUGCGAAGGCAGUCCACUACGUAUGUACUGACGCUCAUGGACGAAAGCGUGGGGAGCGAACAGG
RNAcentral lists this ribosomal RNA (755 nucleotides) under uncultured bacterium. Its description in RNAcentral is "bacterial SSU rRNA". It matches the Rfam family "Bacterial small subunit ribosomal RNA", at positions 28 to 776 of the family's 1533-position model. The record is from RNAcentral.